This 290-nucleotide ribosomal RNA is filed under the name uncultured Perkinsea. Its description in RNAcentral is "partial small subunit ribosomal RNA". It matches the Rfam family "Eukaryotic small subunit ribosomal RNA", at positions 488 to 785 of the family's 1831-position model. Lineage: Eukaryota; Perkinsozoa. The record is from RNAcentral.
GGGCUUCACAGUCUUGCAAUUGGAAUGAGUAGAUUUUAAAUCUCUUUACGAGUAUCAAUUGGAGGGCAAGUCUGGUGCCAGCAGCCGCGGUAAUUCCAGCUCUAAUAGCGUAUAUUAAAGUUGUUGCGGUUAAAAAGCUCGUAGUUGGAUUUCUGCCAAGAACGACCGUCCUACCUUCGGGUUUUGGACCGUGUUGAUCGAGGCAUUCUUCUAGAUUCUAUCUACUCUUAAUUGCUGUAGAAUUGAACUAGAACAUUUACUUUGAGGAAAUUAGAGCGUUUCAAGCAGGC